UCAUCUUAUAUUUUAUUAAAAAUAUAAAAUUGCAAAUUUUAAGAACUAUUAAGGUAUA
Molecule: transfer RNA, 58 nt
Filed under: Acerentomon microrhinus
Lineage: Eukaryota; Metazoa; Arthropoda; Protura; Acerentomata; Acerentomidae
Description: tRNA-Cys
Source: RNAcentral